Molecule: long non-coding RNA, 461 nt
Organism: Mytilus californianus (California mussel)
Lineage: Eukaryota; Metazoa; Mollusca; Bivalvia; Mytilida; Mytilidae
Exons: 4
Source: RefSeq, a predicted model, not a curated record
AUGGGGUAAUCUCUACAUAUAUUUACACUUAACAUAAAUUAAAUGUAUACAUUGAACAGGUAAACAGUCUUCUAUGAUGGGGUAAUCUCUACACAUAUUUACACUUAACAUAAAUUAAAUGUAUACAUUGAACAGGUAAACAGUCUUCUAUGAUGGGGUAAUCUCUACAUAUAUUUACACUUAACAUAAAUUAAAUGUAUACAUUGAACAGGUAAACAGUCUUCUAUGAUGGGGUAAUCUCUACACAUAUUUACACUUAACAUAAAUUAAAUGUAUACAUUGAACAGGUAAACAGUCUUCUAUGAUGGGGUAAUCUCUACAUAUAUUUACACUUAACAUAAAUUAAAUGUAUACAUUGAACAGGUAAACAGUCUUCUAUGAUGGGGUAAUCUCUACAUAUAUUUACACUUAACAUAUUUAAAUGUAUACACUGAACAGGUAAACAGUCUUCUAUGAUGGGG